GAGGGGUGAGGUGGGGGAUCUAGAGAUUAUCAUUCCGAAGACUUAACGGGGUGUGCCGUGUGCGUACCCAAAUUUUAUGAAUCGAUUCCAUAAUUUAUGCAACUUUCUCGACGCCUAGCGGCUAUAUCCUACUCCCGCCCUAGCAGAGACUUGUCACACUUGUGUACGGUAUCAAGACGCGUCGGAAAAAAAAAAAAGCGAAAGGAGGAUGGAAAAGGGGAAAAAGAAGAAGAAUUAAAAAACCCCAGAAUACACAUGGGACGAAGAGGAAAAUCGUUAAACUGGAAAAAAGUGAAAGAGAAAAGCAGAUGGGA
RNAcentral lists this long non-coding RNA (314 nucleotides) under Phoenix dactylifera (date palm). RNAcentral's name for it is "long non-coding RNA (PDAC_LNC006424)". The record is from RNAcentral. Lineage: Eukaryota; Viridiplantae; Streptophyta; Magnoliopsida; Arecales; Arecaceae.